Small nucleolar RNA from Mastomys coucha (southern multimammate mouse), 144 nucleotides. RefSeq annotates it as small nucleolar RNA SNORA48. The record is from RefSeq and is a predicted model, not a curated record. NCBI's taxonomy places the organism in Eukaryota, Metazoa, Chordata, Mammalia, Rodentia, Muridae. The transcript has a single exon.
CACCCUUGGCAAUGGACAAGGAGACACCUUCUUGUUGGAGGUAUUCUUAUAUCAGACAGGGUCAGAGCAGAUGGCAGGCCUUUGUUCAUUCAAGCUUGAUGACUGGCUUGGUGGCCAAGGCUAUUUUAUCCCUAAAACACAUAA